Molecule: ribosomal RNA, 300 nt
Filed under: Triticum aestivum (bread wheat)
Lineage: Eukaryota; Viridiplantae; Streptophyta; Magnoliopsida; Poales; Poaceae
Description: partial small subunit ribosomal RNA
Source: RNAcentral
AUGGCACGAACAACCAAACAACGAGACGAGCCGGAGAUGGGCAGGGGAGACCUGGUCGAGGAUGGGGAAGUCUACGCGGGUGAGGUCCCCGAGCGAGGAGGCCGGCUCCGCCUCCCGCGAAGGCGCGGCCAUGGCCGCCGUCCCACAGCGGCCCCGCCGCGGAGAAAACGUGAGCACAGCGCCGCCGCCGAUAGUUCCGGGAUAGCUGCGGUUCCUGACGGAGGAGGGGAAGUACCGGAGCGACGCCACCGCCGCCGCCGCCGCGGUCGCCAUGCGCGCCGUCUCUGUUGGUUGGAUUAG